AUUGAACGCUGGCGGCAGGCCUAACACAUGCAAGUCGAACGGUAACAGGGAUCAGCUUGCUGAUUCGCUGACGAGUGGCGGACGGGUGAGUAAUGUCUGGGAAGCUGCCUGAUGGAGGGGGAUAACUACUGGAAACGGUAGCUAAUACCGCAUAACGUCGCAAGACCAAAGAGGGGGACCUUCGGGCCUCUUGCCAUCGGAUGUGCCCAGAUGGGAUUAGCUAGUAGGUGGGGUAACGGCUCACCUAGGCGACGAUCCCUAGCUGGUCUGAGAGAAUGACCAACCACGCUGGAACUGAGACACGGUCCAGACUCCUACGGGAGGCAGCAGUGGGGAAUAUUGCACAAUGGGCGCAAGCCUGAUGCAGCCAUGCCGCGUGUAUGAAGAAGGCCUUCGGGUUGUAAAGUACUUUCAGCGGGGAGGAAGGGAGUAAAGUUAAUACCUUUGCUCAUUGACGUUACCCGCAGAAGAAGCACGGGCUAACUCCGUG
Molecule: ribosomal RNA, 490 nt
Filed under: uncultured bacterium
Lineage: Bacteria
Description: partial 16S ribosomal RNA
Rfam family: Bacterial small subunit ribosomal RNA
Source: RNAcentral